AAGUCGUAACAAGGUUUCCGUAGGUGAACCUGCGGAAGGAUCAUUACUGAGUGAGGGUCUUCGGGCCCGACCUCCCAACCCGGUGUCUAUGAACCUCAGUUGCUUCGGUGGGCCGGACGCGACCAACUGGUCGUGAACCCCCAGCCUCCGGGCUGGAGCGUUGCCCGCCGAUGGCCUCUCACAAACUCUUGGUACCCAACCUAGUCGUCUGAAUUGGAUUUUCAAUUAAAAACAAAACUUUCAACAACGGAUCUCUUGGUUCUG
This 264-nucleotide unclassified non-coding RNA is filed under the name fungal sp. Its description in RNAcentral is "partial internal transcribed spacer region". The stretch from base 1 to 46 matches the Rfam family "Eukaryotic small subunit ribosomal RNA", at positions 1786 to 1831 of the family's 1831-position model. Lineage: Eukaryota; Fungi. The record is from RNAcentral.